Long non-coding RNA from Candoia aspera, 3667 nucleotides. RefSeq lists it as uncharacterized. The record is from RefSeq and is a predicted model, not a curated record. NCBI's taxonomy places the organism in Eukaryota, Metazoa, Chordata, Lepidosauria, Squamata, Candoiidae. The transcript is spliced from 4 exons.
AGCAGCGGCUUGGCUGGGCGAGAGCCCCGAUGACGGCAAAGGCUCCGGAACCGCAUCAAGCUACCUACCCAGGCGGGAGGAGAGAGGUACCAAAGUCAGAGGGAAAAACUCGACGUUCACACGCGCAGCCGGGCUACAAGCCGGAGAGUCGAGUCCCUUUGACUGUAUAGACUGACCCCGAGGACAAGCGAGGCGGACACAGCUGGGAUGCGGCCGACAGAUCGACCUUCAUCCCAGCGAACGCACAGGGCUGACUGAAGACAUCGACCCCCCGGCAUUUCUGUUGCUUGUUUUUCAGUGCCCAUUCCACACUGGAACAGUGGAUUUACAUGUUUCAUAUUUUUCCUGGGCAUUUUAACAGCCUCAUGUGGUACAGAGCGGUAGGCGGCAGUAUUGCAACCAAAACUCUCCCCACAACCCGAGUUCGAUCCUAGCAGAAGCUGGAUCUGGGCAGCCGGCUCAGGUCGACUCAGCCUUCCAUCCUUCCGAGGUCGGUAAAAUGAGGACCCAGCUCUCUGGAGGAAAGCUUUGUGGAUGCAGCUUUCUGAUGAGUUUAGCAGCACUGUUUAUAGAAACGACCAAGCUUCAGUCAAACAUGAAUUCAGAUCUGUGAAGGUUGUAAAUGUGAGGAUUGAUCGCAAAGUUAUUUUUCUAUCACCGUCGUAACUGCAAACAGUUGUCAAACAAGGCAGUUGCUAAAUGAGGAUGACCUGUAUUCAGUUACCUAAAGUCCAACAUGGUAUAAAUGGAAAGCAUGUUUAGCAUGCCAACCUUUGAUUCUGAGGAUCACAUUUGUACACAUUAUUCAAGUCACAGCAGUAGAGCUUUUUCUAAAUACGGGUUUAAGAUAUUUAAUUUCAGAAUGCCAGACUGUGAUGGAGGGACUGCAAAAUGUUUGCAGAGUAAAUGUAUCAAGUAUCCUGUCAUUGCUUGGUUCUGUAAAAUAGGCAUUUGCUGAUUUGCAAAUACAGCGUGUAAAAAAUUUAAGCUGAACGUUCAACCAACAUUUCAUAUUCAGGUAAGCAAGGAAUAUUUUGCUUUAUUUUAACUAAACUUAAUGCCAUUUCGAAUCAAGAAAUUGAAACACUGACCUAAAGAUGUAAAUAGGCCAAUAAGGUUUAACUAUGAAAAGGCAUCACAUAUGGAUUGCCUGCUCUGUCCUCAGAGAAACCCAAAUAAUGUUUACAGUAUGGCUAAAAUGUGCCACUUUUGGAACAGGAAAUAUUUUUGAUUGUUUCAGCUACUCUGCAUUAUGAAAAUAGUGGAAUAAUUUUAGGUGUUCCUAACAUCAAAGCUAUAAGACCAGAAUGAGAAAAAGGAAAUCCCACCACUGGUUAGGACAUUAGAAAAAAGGAACUCUCCUGAUGCUAGAGAUCUCUUUGGGAUAAAAAGGGUUGCUGGCAUCUAUUGCCUAUAGUUGUAUAGCCAUACCCUAUAGUGGUAUGGCAAUUUUUUGCUAACUGAGUGCAAAGGAUGAUCUGGUUGUAGAUAUUCUGUAAAACAGUUGUUUAGGGUAGAUGCUAUGAAUGGAGAGAGAGACAGUGUCAAUGACUCCUUAGAAGAUCUGCUGCAAACAGUGAUCUUGCAAUGAUUUGCAGAGAACUUUAGACUAGAUAAGGGUCUGCAAAGCCUAAACUGGAAAACCCAAGCUGAAAGAUCCAUAUUAAGUGCAGAUGUUCCCCAGAAUCUCACUGUUGGUAAUAGUGUACACUGUUUUUUCCAAAGCAAAACAAAAAAAGGGCAGGGGGAAUUAGAGACUGUAUGCUAACAAAUAAAUAGCAGCUCUUUUGGAAUUGCAUUGAGCAACCUUUGCGCAGAGUAACCAACAAGAGGAUGACAGAAAGUAUGGUCCAAUAGUUUUGGGGGUGCAGCUGGCUCAUAUGGACUUUGUCACUUGAGCCCUCUCUCCACUUUUCUUUCUUGCAUAUAUGCAUCUUCUGGAAGGAAUAUAUGCAUGAUUCAAAAAUAAUUCAGAAGAUGUGUUUCAGACCUUGUGCAAGCAUAAGACUUCUUUGCUACUAAUAAUUCACACAAGUCUGAAAAAAGAUGAGGCUGUCUUAAAAAGCUGCUCAUUAAAGUGACUUUUAAAGUAGAGCAGGGUGUUGCUGCUUUCAUGAAUAGCAGAGAGGUGCUUUUAGGCUUCAUCAGCAGAAGUAUAGUUUCCAAAUAAUGGAAGUAAUGCUUCAAUUUUAUUUUGUAUUUUUAGAUCCCCAACUCAAGUGUUGCAUCCAGUUUUAGGUACCAUAAUUUAAGAAGGAUUCAGACAAACUGAAAGAGGCUCAGAGAAGGACAGUAAAGAUGAUUUCAGGGCUAGAAAAUAAGUCCUAUGAAGAUUAAAGGAACGUAGCAUGUUUAGCCUUGACAACAAAAGAGGGGUGGUGGGGGAUAUGAUAGCCUUCUUCAGGUAUCAGAAAGGAAUAGGAUACUGCAUUAUCCCAGAAUGCAGGACAUGGAAUAAUGGCUUUCUAUUACAGGAAGAACAGUUAGCCAGUAGAACCGGUUAUCCAGAUAGGUGGCAGAUUUCUCAUUCACUAGAUAUGUGAGGCUAGACAAUUAUCUGUCACAGAUGGUUUAAUCUGAAUUGUUGCAUUGAAUUCUGUGUUUAAAAAAAAAGAUUAGAUGGUUUUAAAAGUCCUAUCUUUUCCCCACCUUCAGUCUAUGAACUUCUCUUUCUAUUCCCGUUUAACAAAGGCAAAGCCUUUUUCCAUAUUCUGUAGAGGGAAGAGCUGGGGGAAUCUGACUCAGGGUACAUGACAAAAAGCUCUCUCUACUGUAGCUCUUGGGGAUGUGGAUGGUGAAUCUGAGUCUGUUUUGCAAUCUGGCAUGCAGGACCCAUUCACAAUAGAUUCCAAGAUGUUUUCCCUGAUCAAUUACAGGCACCUAAAACUCAAGUGUAUAUGUGAAGUUAAUAUAUACUCAAGUGUAUAUGUGAAGCCUCAAUGUCAUCAAUUUACACUUUCUUAAAUUGAACUACAUUUGCCAUUCACCCAAUUUAAAGAGAGUCUUACUGGAGCUUUUCACAAUUACUUUUGGUUUUCACGAACUUAAACAGCCUUGGCUGUCUCACUGCUUUUACCUCUAACUCAAGAUAAUUUAUGAACAUUUUAAAAAGCACUGGUCCCAAUAUAGAUUCCUGAGACACUCUACUUUUUUCUUCCCUUCAUUAAGAAGAUUGUCUAGUUAUUUCUGUUUUUUAACCAGUUUGUUGUUUACUCGUUCAGUCACUUCCGACUCUUUGUGACUUUAUGGACCACCCCAGGCCAGAGCUUCCUGUCGGUCGCCACCACCCCCAGCUCCCCCAAGGAUGAGUCCAUCAGCUCUAGAAUAUCAUCCAUCCACCUUGCCCUUGGUCGGCUCCUCUCCCUUUUGCCUUCCACUCUCCCUAGCAUCAGCAUCUUCUCCAGGGUGUCCUGUCUUCUUAUUAUGUGGCCAAAGUACUUCAGUUUUGCCUUUAAUAUCAUUCCCUCAAGUGAGCAGUCUGGCUUUAUUUCCUGGAGGAUGGACUGGUUUGAUCUUCUUGCAGUCUAAGGCACUCUCAGAAUUUUCCUCCAACACCACAGUCCAAAAACAUCCAUCUUCCUUCACUCAGCCUUCCUUAUAGUCCAGCUCUCACAGCCAUAUGUUACUACAGGGAACACCAUGGCUUUAACUAUGCAGACCUUUGUUG